RNAcentral lists this ribosomal RNA (497 nucleotides) under uncultured bacterium. RNAcentral's name for it is "partial 16S ribosomal RNA". It matches the Rfam family "Bacterial small subunit ribosomal RNA", at positions 28 to 507 of the family's 1533-position model. The record is from RNAcentral.
GAUGAACGCUGGCGGCGUGCCUAAUACAUGCAAGUCGAGCGAACGGACGAGAAGCUUGCUUCUCUGAUGUUAGCGGCGGACGGGUGAGUAACACGUGGAUAACCUACCUAUAAGACUGGGAUAACUUCGGGAAACCGGAGCUAAUACCGGAUAAUAUUUUGAACCGCAUGGUUCAAAAGUGAAAGACGGUCUUGCUGUCACUUAUAGAUGGAUCCGCGCUGCAUUAGCUAGUUGGUAAGGUAACGGCUUACCAAGGCAACGAUGCAUAGCCGACCUGAGAGGGUGAUCGGCCACACUGGAACUGAGACACGGUCCAGACUCCUACGGGAGGCAGCAGUAGGGAAUCUUCCGCAAUGGGCGAAAGCCUGACGGAGCAACGCCGCGUGAGUGAUGAAGGUCUUCGGAUCGUAAAACUCUGUUAUUAGGGACGAACAUAUGUGUAAGUAACUGUGCACAUAUUGACGGUACCUAAUCAGAAAGCAACGGCUAACUACGUG